GACGAACGCUGGCGGCGUGCUUAACACAUGCAAGUCGAACGGAAAGGCCCUGCUUGCAGGGUACUCGAGUGGCGAACGGGUGGGUAACACGUGGGUGAUCUGCCCUGCACUACGGGUUAAACCUGUGAAACUGGGUCUAAUACCGGAUAGGAGCCAUUUUUAGUGGGAUGGUUGGAAAGUUUUUUCGGUGUAGGCUGAGCUCGCAGCCUAUCAGCUUGUUGAGGGGGCAAUGGCCUACCAAGGCGGCUACGGGUAGCCGGCCUGAGAGGCUGGACGGCGACACUGGCACUGAGAGGCGGCACAGACAGCUAAGCGAGCCAGAAGUGGGGAAUCUUGAACAAUGGGCGCAAGCCUGAUGAUGCGACGCCGCGUAGCGGAAGACUGUCUUAGGGUUGUAAACUAUAUUUGCAAGGGACGGAGCUUAUUGUGACGGUACCUAGAGAAGAAGCGCCGGCUAACUACGUG
RNAcentral lists this ribosomal RNA (465 nucleotides) under uncultured bacterium. Its description in RNAcentral is "partial 16S ribosomal RNA". It matches the Rfam family "Bacterial small subunit ribosomal RNA", at positions 28 to 507 of the family's 1533-position model. The record is from RNAcentral.